Molecule: ribosomal RNA, 1484 nt
Filed under: uncultured bacterium
Lineage: Bacteria
Description: bacterial SSU rRNA
Rfam family: Bacterial small subunit ribosomal RNA
Source: RNAcentral
AGAGUUUGAUCCUGGCUCAGGAUGAACGCUAGCGGCAGGCCUAACACAUGCAAGUCGAACGGUAACAGAUCUAGCUUGCUAGAUGCUGACGAGUGGCGCACGGGUGAGUAACGCGUAUACAAUCUACCUUUAACUGAGGAAUAGCCCAGAGAAAUUUGGAUUAAUACCUCAUAGUAUUAUAUUAAGGCAUCUUUUUAUAAUUAAAACUUCGGUGGUUAAAGAUGAGUAUGCGUCCUAUUAGUUUGUUGGUAAGGUAAAAGCUUACCAAGACUACGAUAGGUAGGGGGCCUGAAAGGGUGAUCCCCCACACUGGUACUGAGACACGGACCAGACUCCUACGGGAGGCAGCAGUGAGGAAUAUUGCACAAUGGAGGAAACUCUGAUGCAGCCAUGCCGCGUGCAGGAUGAAUGCCCUAUGGGUUGUAAACUGCUUUUAUACAAGAAGAAACCUCGGUACGUGUACCGACUUGACGGUAUUGUAUGAAUAAGCACCGGCUAACUCCGUGCCAGCAGCCGCGGUAAUACGGAGGGUGCAAGCGUUAUCCGGAUUUAUUAGGUUUAAAGGGUCCGCAGGCGGAAUAUUAAGUCAGUGGUGAAAGCCUACAGCUCAACUGUAGAACUGCCAUUGAAACUGUUAUUCUUGAGUAUGGAUGAAGUGGGCGGAAUAUGUCAUGUAGCGGUGAAUGCAUAGAUAUGACAUGGAACACCAAUUGCGAAGGCAGCUCACUAAACCAUUACUGACGCUCAUGGACGAAAGCGUGGGGAGCGAACAGGAUUAGAUACCCUGGUAGUCCACGCCGUAAACUAUGAUCACUAGAUGUUGGCGAUAUAAUGUCAGCGUUUAAGAGAAAUCGAUAAGUGAUCCACCUGGGGAGUACGUUCGCAAGAAUGAAACUCAAAGGAAUUGACGGGGGCCCGCACAAGCGGAGGAGCAUGUGGUUUAAUUCGAUGAUACGCGAGGAACCUUACCAAGGCUUAAAUGUAAUAUGACCGGUUGAGAGAUCAACCUUUUUUCGAACAGAUUACAAGGUGCUGCAUGGUUGUCGUCAGCUCGUGCCGUGAGGUGUCGGGUUAAGUCCCAUAACGAGCGCAACCCCUAUUUUUAGUUACCAGCGAGUAAUGUCGGGAACUCUAGAAAAACUGCCUGUGCAAACAGAGAGGAAGGUGGGGAUGACGUCAAAUCAUCACGGCCCUUAUGUCUUGGGCUACACACGUGCUACAAUGGUUACUACAAUGUGAUGCCAUCUGGUGACAGAGAGCUAAUCAAUAAAGGUAAUCUCAGUUCGGAUCGGAGUCUGCAACUCGACUCUGUGAAGUUGGAUUCGCUAGUAAUCGUAUAUCAGCAAUGAUCCGGUGAAUACGUUCCCGGGCCUUGUACACACCGCCCGUCAAGCCAUGGAAUCUGGGAGUACCUGAAGUCGGUGACCGCAAGGAGCCGCCUAGGGUAAAACUGGUAACUAGGGCUAAGUCGUAACAAGGUAACC